CCCCAGUAAAAUUCUUCCAAUCUAAAAUCUUUUUAUAUUCUCUAAAACUUUCUGUACGGGCAAUCUUUUUCUUCAAACGUGCAACCUUGGUUCUUUGGCUCUUGUAAUGUUCUACAGCAUCAUGAUAGGUUUGUGACAUGUGUAAUACCUCAUCAUCCUCAGAAAGACUAUUUAAAACUGGCACAUUUAAACUCCACGACCAUGUCUCCAGAGAACCUUCCAUGUACCAUAAGCCACCAAGUUCUGAAUCAGCAAGUUUUUCC
This 263-nucleotide unclassified non-coding RNA is filed under the name Hevea brasiliensis (rubber tree). Lineage: Eukaryota; Viridiplantae; Streptophyta; Magnoliopsida; Malpighiales; Euphorbiaceae. The record is from RNAcentral.